This 469-nucleotide ribosomal RNA is filed under the name uncultured bacterium. RNAcentral describes it as "partial 16S ribosomal RNA". It matches the Rfam family "Bacterial small subunit ribosomal RNA", at positions 28 to 507 of the family's 1533-position model. The record is from RNAcentral.
GACGAACGCUGGCGGCGUGCUUAACACAUGCAAGUCGAACGGAAAGGCCCUGCUUGCAGGGCGCUCGAGUGGCGAACGGGUGAGUAACACGUGGGUGAUCUGCCCCUUAUUUUGGGAUAAGCCUGGGAAACUGGGCCUAAUACUGGAUAGGACCAUGCUGUAGGUGGUGUGGUGGAAAGAUUAGUUUCGGUAAGGGAUGAGCUCGCGGCCUAUCAGCUUGUUGGUGGGGUAAUGGCCUACCAAGGCGUCGACGGGUAGCCGGCCUGAGAGGGUGGACGGCCACAUUGGGACUGAGAUACGGCCCAGACUCCUACGGGAGGCAGCAGUGGGGAAUAUUGCACAAUGGGCGCAAGCCUGAUGCAGCGACGCCGCGUGGGGGAUGACGGCCUUCGGGUUGUAAACUCCUUUCAGCCAUGACGAAGCCCUUGUGGUGACGGUAGUGGUAGAAGAAGCACCGGCUAACUACGUG